RNAcentral lists this ribosomal RNA (110 nucleotides) under Chinchilla lanigera (long-tailed chinchilla). The record is from RNAcentral. Lineage: Eukaryota; Metazoa; Chordata; Mammalia; Rodentia; Chinchillidae.
GUCUAUGGCCAUACCAUCCUUAACACGCCUGAUCUCAUCUGAUCUCGGAAGCUAAUCAGGGUCGGGCCUGGUUAGUAGUUGGAUGGAAGAAAAUCAAAAUAUCAUUUUCC